Crotalus tigris (Tiger rattlesnake) is the source of this 1422-nucleotide long non-coding RNA. RefSeq lists it as uncharacterized. The record is from RefSeq and is a predicted model, not a curated record. Lineage: Eukaryota; Metazoa; Chordata; Lepidosauria; Squamata; Viperidae. The transcript has 3 exons.
GUGGGAUUGAAGUCACGCCCCCUCCCCUCCGAAGGGGCGGGGAGGGGAGAGACCCCAAGGUCCAGAGGAGGAGGAGGAGGAAGACUUGGGAGGGGCUGGACGCGAGUUCCUGUAGAAAGCGAGAAAUCACAGAGAAGGACACCAUGACUGAUAGCAUCAAAGGCAGCUGAGUGACCAAGGAUUUUCAAGAAGACUGCACUCCCUCUAUCCUGGUUCAGCCACAAGACAUCAACAUGAGGGACCGCUGCUGCACAAAAGAUGACACUUGAACUUGAGCAAGACCGUAGUGUUCUACUGAAGCAGAUGCUGAUACUACACAUACUGAAUUGCAGUAUGUCUUAUUUAUUCUCAACGACUAAAAGUUCUGAGUUAGUGCUCAGAUGAUGCUAACGCUAUCCAUACUAUCCCAGACACAAUCUUCGAUCAUGGAAGAUGCAUCAGCAUUUUAUGGUCAUCUCUAAUAUAAUUUAUAAUAUUCAGCUCCUAGCUCUUUCCCACAGAGACUAGCAGUGUUACUUUAGUGCAGAUUUUGGACUUGAUUCUCUACUACAUGACCUCUUUCAACUCUGUGAUUGGUUAGUUAUUAGUAUUAGUAAAUUUUGUAAUAAUAAGAGUGGUAACGCAGGCAGACAAGAUGAUUCUUUCACAAAGAAGCACUCAUAACUCCCAGAAAAAUUAGAAGUACCACAGCAAGGAGAAAAGUAGCCCUCUGCUGAUUCUAUCUACAGUAGCAAUAACACAUUUCUAAUUUCAGUGGAACAGCAACUAUUUCUGUACAGUGGAGAGAAUAGCUUUAAGACCAAACACCAAUUACUAAAAGGCCCUGAUUCUGUUGUAACAGCUAUUACUCAAUGCUUAGCUCUUUGAAAUAUUUUCCUUGGUUUUCCCUACCCUAAUUCACAUUGAGGUUAGUUUUAGAAUCCCCACAGAGAAUUAAAAUAAAUAGAGAUGUAAAAGCUGCAAUUUAAAAUGUUAAGUUGAUUAGAAAAACCUGUUAGUACUUUCAAGUGCCUUAAGCCUUUUUAUAAAAUGAGAUUCUCCACUGCUAUCAAUAUUCCAUUAUAGUGCUUGGGGCUGAAGACAUUAAUCAGUUGUAUUAACAGCUAAGCUACAAGUAAGAUAUUCUGUUCUGUUAAUUAAAAUAUUAAAAUCUCUUGUCUCCAAACAUCUUUCCUUCAUGUUUCUUCUUUUUACUUUUAACCUGCCAACAAUUAUUUCUGGUAGUUUUAUGGCACACAAACCUUCAAUGUACACUAUGCCACAUUUAGAAUUUUGAAAAACAGAAAAGGAUUUAUCUAAUUCUCCUGCUCCUGAGCAGACAGGUCCAAAUAGAGCACAAUGUUUGAUCUGUGGCCCCAGAACUGUUAGACACUCCUCAGAAAUCAUGUCUCCCUGUUGGCGUAAUUCAGGGGUCUUCAAACU